GUUUUGAAGCCCUGUGUGACUCACACUUGCCUGCCAGGGAGGAAGAUGAGGUUAUUCCAGGCAGAGGAGCAGCCUGGCCAACAAGACCCUGCAUAGCUGGCCACGGAAGUCAACUGAGGUUUCAGAUCUGCCUAAGCUCCCGCGUGGAGUGGGUACCCUGUAAGCUGCCACGUGGUAUGGACGCAUGAGGGGCACGGAGCAGGGGCAGUCAGUGAGUGUCCCUGAGUUUUCUAAGGCAAAGCAGCAGCGGCAGAUGAUGGGACCUCCAUGGGGAAGGCCACAAUGCCAAAGAAGGAGGGAGAGUCAUCCAAAUGCCUUCCUCUCAAUAUUGAAGUCCAACUUCUGAACACCCUACCAGGCGGCAAGGACCCAGGCUCCAAGAACCAGUUUUUCAAGUGGUUCCAUACUGCUUGGCAUCAUUUAGCCAAUAUGCUCACGGUCUACACUCCAUCUACCACUGGGAUCCCAUCACCGCCUGCCUACCCCACUUCCACUCCCACAGCUGACAACUUUCCCUGAACAAGAUUGAGAUUGCUGUGCUCUUGGACACUUGUGCCCAGCCUCCUCUUCCUUGACAACAUCCUCACCCUGUGGGUUCCUCCAGCCUCCAUUUUCUUACCCAGUGGGAAGACUAAGCACCACCUAUGCCUGUCUCUUUACUUCAUUACAUGGCUGGAGAUGGAGUUCCUUCUGUAAAUGGCAUCUGACCUAUCUCAAGAUAGAGGAGCCCAAAGGAGUGACCCAAGUGAGUGAAGUGAAUUAGUGACAACUUCAUGCAGAAAAGUUUGAGACACGUCAUGGAGACGAAUUAGGGAAGAGGUAGAGGAGGACCUCUAAAUAGAGGAAGUGAGGUAACACUGGCAGGGACUGGGCAACCACCAGCUCUCAGCAAGGGAGGGGACAGAGGUCAGCCUGUGGCAAGGAGCUCCCAGCCCCUCCCUCUCUAGGAAGAAGUGGUGGAAGCACCUUUCCUCCAGUUCUGCUCUGGACUCCCAGCAACAAACUGUCAUGAGUUGGAAACUUUGCACAGCCAAGGAUGAAAUGUCAGCCCUCAAACCUAUGUCAGAGCUGCUGUGAAAACUGGAAAUAAGCAACUUAUGAUGGGAAAUUCAUUUGCAUGUACUAUUUUACUUUUUAAACCAGAAUGAUAGUUUUAACUUUUAGGCUUAAGCCAUCCAAUAUCAUCUGUAUGAAUUAUUUCUUAAUUUUCACUGAAUGUUCAAAAGUAGAGUCAUGUUAAAUCAUAUACACACACAGAUGCAUAUACACACAUAUUCAUACCUGUAUGGGGGUGGGGAGUGUGUAUGUGUGUGUGUGCAUAAGCACAAGUUGCUGGGGGGAGAUUAAAUGAAUAAUGCCAUAUACUCACAACCUCAAAAAAUAUUGGGAGUAUUAGUGUUUUGUUUCUCAGUUAUUAAUUCCAGUUAAUGUAGUGAUUAGAAAAGGAAUCCAAACAUUUACUGGAAUUUAACUUCAGCCAAAUAUAAUGAGACAGGCUCAU
RNAcentral lists this long non-coding RNA (1501 nucleotides) under Macaca mulatta (Rhesus monkey). RNAcentral describes it as "lncRNA (ENSMMUG00000044759.2)". The record is from RNAcentral. Lineage: Eukaryota; Metazoa; Chordata; Mammalia; Primates; Cercopithecidae.